RNAcentral lists this ribosomal RNA (270 nucleotides) under uncultured archaeon. RNAcentral describes it as "partial 16S ribosomal RNA". It matches the Rfam family "Archaeal small subunit ribosomal RNA", at positions 477 to 747 of the family's 1478-position model. The record is from RNAcentral.
CAGCACCUCAAGUGGUCAGGAUGAUUAUUGGGCCUAAAGCAUCCGUAGCCGGCUCUGUAAGUUUUCGGUUAAAUCUGUACGCUUAACGUACAGGCUGCCGGGAAUACUGCAGAGCUAGGGAGUGGGAGAGGUAGACGGUACUCGGUAGGAAGGGGUAAAAUCCUUUGAUCUAUUGAUGACCACCUGUGGCGAAGGCGGUCUACCAGAACACGUCCGACGGUGAGGGAUGAAAGCUGGGGGAGCAAACCGGAUUAGAUACCCGUGUAGUCC